GCAGCUCAGUCAGUAGAGCAUGAGACUCUUAAUCUCAGGGUUGUGGGUUAGAACCCCAUGUUGGGUG
Molecule: non-coding RNA, 67 nt
Organism: Podarcis lilfordi (Lilford's wall lizard)
Lineage: Eukaryota; Metazoa; Chordata; Lepidosauria; Squamata; Lacertidae
Source: the annotation of a GenBank genome assembly